This 429-nucleotide ribosomal RNA is filed under the name Chloroflexota bacterium. RNAcentral describes it as "Chloroflexi bacterium partial 16S ribosomal RNA". It matches the Rfam family "Bacterial small subunit ribosomal RNA", at positions 355 to 776 of the family's 1533-position model. The record is from RNAcentral. Lineage: Bacteria; Bacillati; Chloroflexota.
UGGGGAAUAUUGCACAAUGGGCGCAAGCCUGAUGCAGCCAUGCCGCGUGUGUGAAGAAGGCCUUCGGGUUGUAAAGCACUUUCAGCGGGGAGGAAGGAGAUAAGGUUAAUAACCUUGUCGAUUGACGUUACCCGCAGAAGAAGCACCGGCUAACUCCGUGCCAGCAGCCGCGGUAAUACGGAGGGUGCAAGCGUUAAUCGGAAUUACUGGGCGUAAAGCGCACGCAGGCGGUCUGUCAAGUCGGAUGUGAAAUCCCCGGGCUCAACCUGGGAACUGCAUUCGAAACUGGCAGGCUAGAGUCUUGUAGAGGGGGGUAGAAUUCCAGGUGUAGCGGUGAAAUGCGUAGAGAUCUGGAGGAAUACCGGUGGCGAAGGCGGCCCCCUGGACAAAGACUGACGCUCAGGUGCGAAAGCGUGGGGAGCAAACAGG